AUUGAUUUUAUGCUUGCAUAAAUGAUUUUUGGAUUCGGAGCGAGUGGCGAACUGGUGAGUAACACGUGGGUAACCUGCCCCGAAGCGGGGGAUAACAUUUGGAAACAAGUGCUAAUACCGCAUAAUUAGUUGGAACCGCAUGGUUCCAACUUGAAAGAUGGCUCUGCUAUCACUUUGGGAUGGACCCGCGCCGUAUUAGUUAGUUGGUGAGAUAAAAGCCCACCAAGACGAUGAUACGUAGCCGACCUGAGAGGGUAAUCGGCCACAUUGGGACUGAGACACGGCCCAGACUCCUACGGGAGGCAGCAGUAGGGAAUCUUCCACAAUGGACGAAAGUCUGAUGGAGCAACGCCGCGUGAGUGAUGAAGGUUUUCGGAUCGUAAAACUCUGUCGUUAAAGAAGAACAAGUGUUAGAGUAACUGUUAACACUUUGACGGUAUUUAACCAGAAAGCCACGGCUAACUACGUGCCAGCAGCCGCGGUAAUACGUAGGUGGCAAGCGUUGUCCGGAUUUAUUGGGCGUAAAGCGAGCGCAGGCGGUUUUGUAAGUCUGCUGUGAAAGUCCUCAGCUCAACUGAGGAAGUGCAGUGGAGACUACAAAACUUGAGUACAGAAGAGGAAAGUGGAACUCCAUGUGUAGCGGUGAAAUGCGUAGAUAUAUGGAAGAACACCAGUGGCGAAGGCGGCUUUCUGGUCUGUUACUGACGCUGAGGCUCGAAAGCACGGGUAGCGAACAGGAUUAGAUACCCUGGUAGUCCAUGCCGUAAACGAUGAAUACUAGGUGUUGGAGGGUUUCCGCCCUUCAGUGCCGCAGCUAACGCAUUAAGUAUUCCGCCUGGGGAGUACGACCGCAAGGUUGAAACUCAAAGGAAUUGACGGGGGCCCGCACAAGUGGUGGAGCAUGUGGUUUAAUUCGAUGCUACGCGAAGAACCUUACCAGCUCUUGACAUCUUCUGCCAACCCAAGAGAUUGGGCGUUCCCUUCGGGGACAGAAUGACAGGUGGUGCAUGGUUGUCGUCAGCUCGUGUCGUGAGAUGUUGGGUUAAGUCCCGCAACGAGCGCAACCCUUAUUAUUAGUUGCCAGCAUUUAGUUGGGCACUCUAGUGAGACUGCCGGUGAUAAA
Molecule: ribosomal RNA, 1123 nt
Filed under: uncultured bacterium
Lineage: Bacteria
Description: bacterial SSU rRNA
Rfam family: Bacterial small subunit ribosomal RNA
Source: RNAcentral